AUGAACGCUGGCGGCGUGCCUAACACAUGCAAGUCGAACGGAGAAUUACGCUGAUGAAGCUUCGGCAGAUUCUUGUAAAUUCUUAGUGGCGGACGGGUGAGUAACGCGUGGGCAACCUGCCUCAUACUGGGGGGAUAACAGCUGGAAACGGCUGUUAAUACCGCAUAAGCGCACGGUAUCGCAUGAUACAGUGUGAAAAACUCCGGUGGUAUGAGAUGGGCCCGCGUCAGAUUAGCCAGUUGGCAGGGUAACGGCCUACCAAAGCGACGAUCUGUAGCCGGCCUGAGAGGGCGGACGGCCACAUUGGGACUGAGACACGGCCCAAACUCCUACGGGAGGCAGCAGUGGGGGAUAUUGCACAAUGGAGGAAACUCUGAUGCAGCGACGCCGCGUGAGUGAAGAAGUAUUUCGGUAUGUAAAGCUCUAUCAGCAGGGAAGAAAGACUCGUAAGAGAGAUGACGGUACCUGACUAAGAAGCCCCGGCUAACUACGUGCCAGCCGCCGC
RNAcentral lists this ribosomal RNA (505 nucleotides) under uncultured bacterium. RNAcentral's name for it is "bacterial SSU rRNA". It matches the Rfam family "Bacterial small subunit ribosomal RNA", at positions 29 to 518 of the family's 1533-position model. The record is from RNAcentral.